AGAAUAUUAGAUAACAAGACAAAUAAAUUUUUAAAUAUAAAAUGCAACCAAGCUGUGCCAUUUGUGAAUUGCUAAAAAUCAAUAUACAUGCCAUUAAGUACACACAAAGACCUACUCACACAAGUUGCAAAAAAUAUAUCUUUCCAAAUUUAAUUGUGUUUAAAGCGUUAACAAAUUAAUGUGAACAAUUUACAUCAUGCUAAUUUAAGAAUAAAAUCAAUGUAGACACUGCACACGUUUCGCCUACACAGCUCAACUUCAGUGCUCGUUGAGGAACAAAUGUAUGUGAAAUAUAUCAAACAUGAUCUAAGAGUACCUUGAGCACAUCUGCAGCAGCUAAAAUCUGUUGGCCAUGGCAGAUGGAUGCAACUAGCUUCUUGCUUUCCAUAAAAUGCUUCACUAA
Arachis ipaensis is the source of this 403-nucleotide non-coding RNA. Lineage: Eukaryota; Viridiplantae; Streptophyta; Magnoliopsida; Fabales; Fabaceae. The record is from RefSeq and is a predicted model, not a curated record.